Molecule: ribosomal RNA, 424 nt
Filed under: uncultured bacterium
Lineage: Bacteria
Description: partial 16S ribosomal RNA
Rfam family: Bacterial small subunit ribosomal RNA
Source: RNAcentral
AAUUUUGGACAAUGGGGGAAACCCUGGUCCAGCCAUCCCGCGUGUCUGAUGAAGGCCUUCGGGUUGUAAAGUACUGUUGGCAGAGAAGAAAAGGUAUCUCUUAAUACGGUAUACUGUUGAAGGUACGUGCAGAAUAAGCACCGGCUAACUAAGUGCCAGCACACGCGGUAAUACGUAGGGUGCAAGCGUAAAUCGGAAUUACAGGGCGUAAUGCGUGUGUAGGCGGUUCGGAAAGAAAGAUGUGAAAUCCCAGGGCUCAACCUUGGAACUGCAUUUUUAACUGCCGAGCUAGAGUAUGUCAGAGGGGGGUAGAAUUCCACGUGUAGCAGUGAAAUGCGUAGAUAUGUGGAGGAAUACCGAUGGCGAAGGCAGCCCCCUGGGAUAAUACUGACGCUCAGACACGAAAGCGUGGGGAGCAAACAGG